RNAcentral lists this ribosomal RNA (616 nucleotides) under uncultured bacterium. RNAcentral's name for it is "bacterial SSU rRNA". It matches the Rfam family "Bacterial small subunit ribosomal RNA", at positions 66 to 728 of the family's 1533-position model. The record is from RNAcentral.
ACGCACUCUUCGGAGUGAGUGGCAGACGGGUGAGUAACGCGUGGAAACGUGCCUUUCUCUACGGAAUAGCCCUUGGAAACGAGGUGUAAUACCGUAUACGCCCUUAGGGGGAAGGAUUUAUCGGAGAAAGAUCGGUCCGCGUUAGAUUAGUUUGUUGGUGGGGUAAUGGCCUACCAAGACUACGAUCUAUAGCUGAUUUGAGAGGAUGAUCAGCCACACUGGAACUGAGACACGGUCCAGACUCCUACGGGAGGCAGCAGUGGGGAAUCUUGGACAAUGGGGGAAACCCUGAUCCAGCCAUGCCGCGUGAAUGAUGAAGGCCUUAGGGUUGUAAAAUUCUUUCACCGGGGAAGAUAAUGACGGUACCCGGAGAAGAAGCUCCGGCUAACUUCGUGCCAGCAGCCGCGGUAAUACGAAGGGAGCUAGCGUUGUUCGGAAUUACUGGGCGUAAAGCGCACGUAGGCGGAUUAGUAAGUAAGAGGUGAAAUCCCAGGGCUCAACCCUGGAACUGCCUUUUAAACUGCUAGUCUAGAGGAUAGGAGAGGUCAGUGGAAUACCGAGUGUAGAGGUGAAAUUCGUAGAUAUUCGGUGGAACACCAGUGGCGAAGGCGACUGA